RNAcentral lists this ribosomal RNA (387 nucleotides) under uncultured bacterium. RNAcentral describes it as "bacterial SSU rRNA". It matches the Rfam family "Bacterial small subunit ribosomal RNA", at positions 29 to 417 of the family's 1533-position model. The record is from RNAcentral.
AUUAAACGCUGGCGGCAUGCCUUACACAUGCAAGUCGAACGGCAGCACGGGGGCAACCCUGGUGGCGAGUGGCGGACGGGUGAGUAAAGCAUCGGAACGUAUCCUGGAGUGGGGGAUAACGUAGCGAAAGUUACGCUAAUACCGCAUAUUCUGUGAGCAGGAAAGCAGGGGAUCGCAAGACCUUGCGCUCUGGGAGCGGCCGAUGUCGGAUUAGCUAGUUGGUGGGGUAAAGGCCUACCAAGGCGACGAUCCGUAGCGGGUCUGAGAGGAUGAUCCGCCACACUGGGACUGAGACACGGCCCAGACUCCUACGGGAGGCAGCAGUGGGGAAUUUUGGACAAUGGGCGAAAGCCUGAUCCAGCCAUGCCGCGUGAGUGAAGAAGGCCU